AGUUCUAAGGCCUUGACAAAGCAGCCACAGCAUCAGCAGCAGCAGCAGCAGCUUUGGGCCGCUCAGUUGGCAGCUCAAUACAGGAAUACUGCAACUUCAACAGCCAUGNNNNNNNNCAAGCUGGCUAAAUGGGAGGCAAGAAUCGCCUGGGCUAAUGCCCUGUAUUCCUUCUUUGCCUUCAAGUUCAACACUGGAAGUACUAGGCCCC
Molecule: unclassified non-coding RNA, 208 nt
Filed under: Hevea brasiliensis (rubber tree)
Lineage: Eukaryota; Viridiplantae; Streptophyta; Magnoliopsida; Malpighiales; Euphorbiaceae
Source: RNAcentral